RNAcentral lists this ribosomal RNA (723 nucleotides) under bacterium. Its description in RNAcentral is "bacterial SSU rRNA". It matches the Rfam family "Bacterial small subunit ribosomal RNA", at positions 71 to 808 of the family's 1533-position model. The record is from RNAcentral.
AUCUCCAGCUUGCUGGGGGGAUUAGUGGCGAACGGGUGAGUAACACGUGAGUAACCUGCCCUUGACUCUGGGAUAAGCCUGGGAAACUGGGUCUAAUACUGGAUACGACUCUUCACCGCAUGGUGGGGGGUGGAAAGCUUUUGUGGUUUUGGAUGGACUCGCGGCCUAUCAGCUUGUUGGUGGGGUAAUGGCCUACCAAGGCGACGACGGGUAGCCGGCCUGAGAGGGUGGACGGCCACACUGGGACUGAGACACGGCCCAGACUCCUACGGGAGGCAGCAGUGGGGAAUAUUGCACAAUGGGCGCAAGCCUGAUGCAGCGACGCCGCGUGAGGGAUGAAGGCCUUCGGGUUGUAAACCUCUUUCAGUAGGGAAGAAGCGAAAGUGACGGUACCUGCAGAAGAAGCGCCGGCUAACUACGUGCCAGCAGCCGCGGUAAUACGUAGGGCGCAAGCGUUAUCCGGAAUUAUUGGGCGUAAAGAGCUCGUAGGCGGUUUGUCGCGUCUGCCGUGAAAGUCCGGGGCUUAACUCCGGAUCUGCGGUGGGUACGGGCAGACUUGAGUGAUGUAGGGGAGACUGGAAUUCCUGGUGUAGCGGUGAAAUGCGCAGAUAUCAGGAGGAACACCGAUGGCGAAGGCAGGUCUCUGGGCAUUAACUGACGCUGAGGAGCGAAAGCAUGGGGAGCGAACAGGAUUAGAUACCCUGGUAGUCCAUGCCGUAAACG